AUACUAUUUUAAUUUCUAAAUGUUUUAGGCAUUGUAAGUCCUUUUUGACACUCCAUUGUACUGACAAAUACUAAAAAAGGGAGUAGGAAAGAGCACACAUUAUUUCAUCCACUUGUAAAACAUGAUGAUAAGAGUAGGAAAUGGUGCCCAAUCAAUCUGUUCUUUAUGUAGCAUUUUCAUUUGGAGGCCUGUUUUGGAAUUGUCUUUCUGUGAGAACAGGUAACAGUUAGGACCUAGUGGUGUUUACCACCAUGAUACUGAAGAAACUAGGCAUCCCUCUAAGUAAGUCAACAUUUUAACCUUCUUUUUUUCUUCUUCUCAUAUAUAUUACUAGUUCUAAUCCAGCAUGUGCCUAGUGAGUGAUUUACUCCCAGGAAACUUUCAACUAGCACACUAGUAAUUCACAUUUGUCCAGAGUUGUCACUAUACAAAAUGUUCAUGGCAGACACUCUUGCUUAGCUUACCCAGUUCCUUCUCUCCCUUAUAGAAGUUCUCUGCCACUUAUAGAGGCUGAAAAGCCACAUCCUUUGCAACCUCCCCUGCUUGGGGGUUCAGGGGUGGUCAUGUCAUCCAGUUCUGUACUAUAACACAUAUGUGAAAGUCUGCUGAGAGAGUUCUAAGAAGAGGGAAAUAGAAAAACCCAAUGCAUCCUUGUCCUUUCUUCCUUCAGAGGACUUGGGAAUGACAUCUAGAGAUUCAGCAGCUAUGUUGUGACCACGAAGCAAUUAGCCAACUUGCUGAGGAAGCUGGAAUAGAAAGAUAAAAGGAUCUUAAGUCAUUGAUGAUGUCAUGGAGCUCUGUACCUGCCUACCUACCUGUGAGAAAGGGAUGAACUUUUGUUUGUUUAAGAUGGAAAAUUGAAGGUGGAAGAGUUGAACCAGCUACUAAGAGUCAAGCCCGCCCUUCCAACUGAGCAUCAUCGGAUCUCCCCUGCCUCCUUCUGCCCUCAGAUCCCAGGGGACAUUUGGACACAGAGACAGAUGUGCACAGAGGGAGAGACGUAAACACACACAGGGCGAGGACGGCCACGGGACUGGAGCAGCGCAGCUACAAGCCAGCGAAUGCCAAGGAAAGCUGGCAAACACCAAACGCCAUGAGAGACAGGGAAGGAUUCUCCCCGGGAGCCAUCCAGGAGUGCACGGCCCUGCUGACGCCUGAUUUUGGACUUCUAGCCACCAGAACUGUGAGACGAGAAAUUUCUAUUUUAAGCCGCCUAGUCUUUGCUAUUUUGUUAUAGCCAUCCUAGGAAAUUAAUGUGCCGCUGAAUAAGAAUAUUGAUUUGCCACUGUUUGAAUAAAUAUUCAGCAAAGAAAAAGCCUCAGACCUAGAAAGAUUUAUGUAAUUUCCCAAGGUAUGUAACUACUUAAUAGAAAGAAGGCCUGGGAACCAGGUCUGCUAGUUGCUGUCAAAACUUUUUCCAAGUUAGGACCUUGCUUCCCAAGAACAG
This is a long non-coding RNA of Lemur catta (Ring-tailed lemur), 1447 nucleotides long. RefSeq lists it as uncharacterized. NCBI's taxonomy places the organism in Eukaryota, Metazoa, Chordata, Mammalia, Primates, Lemuridae. The transcript has 3 exons. The record is from RefSeq and is a predicted model, not a curated record.